This 68-nucleotide transfer RNA is filed under the name Proechimys simonsi (Simon's spiny rat). RNAcentral's name for it is "tRNA-Pro". Lineage: Eukaryota; Metazoa; Chordata; Mammalia; Rodentia; Echimyidae. The record is from RNAcentral.
CAAGAAAUAGUUUAAUUAGAAUGUCAGUUUUGGGUACUGGUGGUGUGGCUGGAUUGCUUCUUUCUUGA